ACCAGACUCCUACGGGAGGCAGCAGCGGGGAAUAUUGCACAAUGGGGGAAACCCUGAUGCAGCGACGCCGCGUGAGGGAAGACGGUCUUCGGAUUGUAAACCUCUGUCUUUGGGGAAGAAAAUGACGGUACCCAAAGAGGAAGCUCCGGCUAACUACGUGCCAGCAGCCGCGGUAAUACGUAGGGAGCGAGCGUUGUCCGGAAUUACUGGGUGUAAAGGGAGCGUAGGCGGGCGAGAAAGUUGAAUGUUAAAUCUACCGGCUUAACUGGUAGCUGCGUUCAAAACUUCUUGUCUUGAGUGAAGUAGAGGCAGGCGGAAUUCCUAGUGUAGCGGUGAAAUGCGUAGAUAUCAGGAGGAACACCGGCGGCGAAGGCGGCCUGCUGGACCGCGACUGACGUUGAGGCUCGAAAGCGUGGGGAGCGAACAGGAUUAGAUACCCGAGUA
This 444-nucleotide ribosomal RNA is filed under the name uncultured bacterium. Its description in RNAcentral is "bacterial SSU rRNA". It matches the Rfam family "Bacterial small subunit ribosomal RNA", at positions 330 to 792 of the family's 1533-position model. The record is from RNAcentral.